This 774-nucleotide ribosomal RNA is filed under the name uncultured Neocallimastigales. RNAcentral's name for it is "partial large subunit ribosomal RNA". It matches the Rfam family "Eukaryotic large subunit ribosomal RNA", at positions 26 to 616 of the family's 3401-position model. Lineage: Eukaryota; Fungi; Neocallimastigomycota; Neocallimastigomycetes; Neocallimastigales. The record is from RNAcentral.
CGCAUCUGUGCAUGCAGCAUAUCAAUAAGCGGAGGAAAAGAAACUAACAAGGAUUCCCCUAGUAACGGCGAGUGAAGCGGGAAGAGCUCAAAUUUGAAAUCUUAAAGGGUUUCCCUUUACGAAUUGUAGUUUAAAGAAGUGUUUUCUGUUGAGGUUUUGGUAAAAGUUCUUUGGAAUAGGACAUCAUAGAGGGUGAGAAUCCCGUAUUUGACCUUUACUUUCAACUUUGUGAUACACUUUCAAAGAGUCGGAUUGUUUGGGAAUGCAGUCCAAAAUGGGUGGUAAAUUUCAUCUAAAGCUAAAUAUUGGCGAGAGACCGAUAGCGAACAAGUACCGUGAGGGAAAGAUGAAAAGAACUUUGAAAAGAGAGUUAAACAGUACGUGAAAUUGUCAAAAGGGAAGCGUUUGACACCAGUGUUGUUUUUCUGAAAAUCAAUUAAAGAACUGUUUAUGCUAAGUUGUUUAGACUUUAUCAGCUAACUGUUUAGUUUUGAGCUUUUCUUUAAUGCACUUUUCAGUUAACAAGUCAACAUCAAUUUCUUUUGCUGUAAAAAAGCUUGAGGAAGGUGGCUUGAGAUUCGUCUUAAGUGUUUAUAGCCUCUUGCCUAUGCAGUCGGAGAGACUGAGGUCUGCAGCGUAGAUCCUUCGGGGCUAAAUGCAUUUGUGCUAAGUUAUAGCAUUUUAUAGACAACUUGUUGACUAUGAUUUGUCUUGUAGCUUACUCACUUAUGUUAUUUUACCUACGCUUAGGAUGUUGAGCGCAUGUCUCUCUCU